This 449-nucleotide ribosomal RNA is filed under the name uncultured bacterium. RNAcentral describes it as "partial 16S ribosomal RNA". It matches the Rfam family "Bacterial small subunit ribosomal RNA", at positions 29 to 523 of the family's 1533-position model. The record is from RNAcentral.
AACGAACGCUGGCGGCACGCCUAACACAUGCAAGUCGAACAAGACCUUCGGGUCUAGUGGCGCACGGGUGCGUAACGCGUGGGAAUCUGCCCUUGGGUUCGGAAUAACAGUUGGAAACGACUGCUAAUACCGGAUGAUGACUUCGGUCCAAAGAUUUAUCGCCCAGGGAUGAGCCCGCGUAGGAUUAGCUUGUUGGUGAGGUAAAGGCUCACCAAGGCGACGAUCCUUAGCUGGUCUGAGAGGAUGAUCAGCCACACUGGGACUGAGACACGGCCCAGACUCCUACGGGAGGCAGCAGUGGGGAAUAUUGGACAAUGGGCGAAAGCCUGAUCCAGCAAUGCCGCGUGAGUGAUGAAGGCCUUAGGGUUGUAAAGCUCUUUUACCCGGGAUGAUAAUGACAGUACCGGGAGAAUAAGCCCCGGCUAACUCCGUGCCAGCCGCCGCAGUAA